This 163-nucleotide ribosomal RNA is filed under the name Dendrobium moniliforme. RNAcentral's name for it is "5.8S ribosomal RNA". It matches the Rfam family "5.8S ribosomal RNA". Rfam says of the family: 5.8S ribosomal RNA (5.8S rRNA) is a component of the large subunit of the eukaryotic ribosome. It is transcribed by RNA polymerase I as part of the 45S precursor that also contains 18S and 28S rRNA. The record is from RNAcentral. Lineage: Eukaryota; Viridiplantae; Streptophyta; Magnoliopsida; Asparagales; Orchidaceae. RNAcentral also lists the same sequence under 2 other names.
ACACGACUCUCGGCAAUGGAUAUCUCGGCUCUCGCAUCGAUGAAGAGCGCAGCGAAAUGCGAUAUGUGGUGCGAAUUGCAGAAUCCCGCGAACCAUCGAGUCUUUGAACGCAAGUUGCGCCUGAGGCCAACUGGCUGAGGGCACGUCCGCCUGGGCGUCAAGC